This 468-nucleotide ribosomal RNA is filed under the name uncultured bacterium. RNAcentral's name for it is "partial 16S ribosomal RNA". It matches the Rfam family "Bacterial small subunit ribosomal RNA", at positions 28 to 507 of the family's 1533-position model. The record is from RNAcentral.
GACGAACGCUGGCGGCGUGCUUAACACAUGCAAGUCGAACGGAAAGGCCCUGCUUUUGUGGGGUGCUCGAGUGGCGAACGGGUGAGUAACACGUGAGUAACCUGCCCUUGACUUUGGGAUAACUUCAGGAAACUGGGGCUAAUACCGGAUAGGAGCUCCUGCUGCAUGGUGGGGGUUGGAAAGUUUCGGCGGUUGGGGAUGGACUCGCGGCUUAUCAGCUUGUUGGUGGGGUAGUGGCUUACCAAGGCUUUGACGGGUAGCCGGCCUGAGAGGGUGACCGGCCACAUUGGGAUUGAGAUACGGCCCAGACUCCUACGGGAGGCAGCAGUGGGGAAUAUUGCACAAAGGGCGGAAGCCUGAUGCAGCAACGCCGCGUGCGGGAUGACGGCCUUCGGGUUGUAAACCGCUUUCGCCUGUGACGAAGCGUGAGUGACGGUAAUGGGUAAAGAAGCACCGGCUAACUACGUG